This 319-nucleotide ribosomal RNA is filed under the name uncultured bacterium. RNAcentral describes it as "bacterial SSU rRNA". It matches the Rfam family "Bacterial small subunit ribosomal RNA", at positions 28 to 339 of the family's 1533-position model. The record is from RNAcentral.
GAUGAACGCUAGCGGCAGGCUUAAUACAUGCAAGUCGAACGGUAACAGGUCUUCGGAUGCUGACGAGUGGCGCACGGGUGAGUAACGCGUACAAAAUCUACCUUUAACUGGGGGAAAGUCGCUGGAAACGGCGAAUAAUCCCGCAUAACGACCCCGAUGUCGCAUGGCUAUUGUAGGUAAAAGGCUUCGGCUAGGUAAAAGAUGAUUGUGCGUUCCAUUAGCUAGAUGGUGAGGUAACGGCUCACCAUGGCGACGAUGGGUUAGGGGGCGUGAGAGCGUGACUCCCCCACGACGGGUACUGAGACACGGACCCGACUCC